UGAGUUUGCUUGAUUAUUAUGCAUAAUCGUUCAUGUCUCACAUUUUUUUCUUCUAGAAAUCAUUUGACACAGUAGGUCGAAUUGUUAUUUAAAUUUGAAAAAGAACCCUUCUUGUUUAUUGUGGUAACAUAGUAUCAUAUUAUGAGGAGUACUGAUCUAUAUGGAAACUGUUAUGUUUUUUUCCUUUCGCGGAAUACGAGAGGUAUUUUCUCUCUUCCGCAUAGUUAAAUAGGAGUUUCGACUACAUGAGUAUUUUCACCAAAAUUUAUAUUUUUUUUAGAAACAAACUUGUUUGCUUACUACCAGUACAACACAAAACACUUGAGUCUAUCGAUGAACAAAGCAAGAGUGGGUAGAAAUUGUUGUUUAAUAUAUGUUCUCAUUAUAAGAGUUACAACGAUUGAGUUAGGAGUUCUAUUAUCUGGUUAUUAGUAUCCAUUUUCCUUUCAAUGUCAUCUAAGGUGCUUUGGAUACCAUUGAUCUAAAUCAAAUUAUGUUUCUGUAUUCUUGCUUGUUUUUAAGGUUAAGGAUUCACUGAUUUAGAAAGGAAAAAAAGGGCCAUGGAUCACACGUUCCUAUUAACCAAUCUUGUUGUGAUUACUAAUAUCACCAAAGAAAGUCUUCUUGGGGUAAAGGAAGCCUUCAAUUUGAAGCAUCCAUUAAUUUUCGUUUUAUUUCUAGAUACCUGAUUGAAGUUAGUCAAGCUAGUCGGAUCAUUGUUUUUUUUUUUUGCUCGGCUGUAGGAUCAUGGAAUUAGGAAUUAGAAAUGAGAAACUUGAUUUUAGAAUUACCUUUGGGUGAAAUUCCAUUGCUGUUCCAAUAAAUUCUAAAUUGCCUUGAAUUAAAAAAUGUGUCAAAGGCUUUAGUGGAUUAGGUGGCUGGUAUGCUUGAAAGAAAUUGUUCCUUGGAGGUAAUGGAGAGGGAUUGAGUAGUAGCAAAGAGGAAAGGAAGGAGCAAUAGAAAGUGUAGUGGGAUUUAGCAGGCUUGUCUCUCUUAGUCUCUGUUAUGUAAAUAUUAAUCCUCAAAUGGUUGGAUGAUUCAUCUCUCAUUGCCCCUUGCUAGGAUGGUGAUCGUUGACAUACUACAGCCAAUUCAACUCCCUUGAAAUCAAUGCCCCUAAUCUCAAGGCUCUCAACUUUUGUGGCGUUUUCAAAACAAUUUCUUUCAAACAUAUAUAUCCCACUUCUUUCAUAAAUUUAAAUUAACUUGCUUUCCGAUGAAUAUGUUAACCAAAAGUUUCCGUUUGACCAAAAAAAAAGAAUAUGUUAAGCUGCCUGAGGAAGAAACAGAAACCGAAUGGGUGAAGUUUUUCCAGUGUUCACUUGCUGAUAUUGAGGACAUGCGAGUAGCUCCUUUUUGGAGGUAAGAAAGCUUCUAUUCCCAUAAAUCCACUUGCUUAGUAGACUGUGUUUUUAUUAUCUUUUCCAUAUUUGCUUCAAGUCAUUCGGCGCAGGUCAUGUUCUAGAAAGAAUUCCAAGUACCUUUAAACCAUCUGAAAUUUUUGGUUCUAUCUGAUAUCUGUUAUUUUACUCUUGAUUACGUCUCACGUGCUCUUUUCUUGCCGUACUAAGAAGGGAAGGACAAAAGCGAAUCGGUAUGCUAAUUCCUCAUCCUCAAAUCAAUCCUUCCCCUGGGUUAUUUUCUCAACGAAAAUGAAUAAGUAAUUUAGUUAUAAGAGUGAAAUCUUUAUAGAAUUCAAAGUUCUUAGUUAACAUGAAGAGUGAGGAAAUAAUUCCAUCAUCAUUCAUUGGUUGAUCGUAUCAUUAAUAUGUCUUCUUUUUGGUGCGAGGAACUUCUCAUGAAUCCAUUGAUUUGCGGGCCAAGCUGUCGAAGGGAUCACGAGGCAGCUCGAGGCGGAGGGAAAAAUACGAGGUAUUCCCCAAUGCGACUUUGGCUAUUAACGUUCUUGCUUUUUCGGAAGUGCAUGGUUGUUCGGAUGUCUCUUUGAAUAAACAUCGCAAAGUGCAAGUGAAAAAUGUGUCUUUGGCACAAAGCCUGAAUUGGAGUUUAUUAAGCUUUUGUUAGUCAAGUCAUUGAUGCUGGAGACAAUGCUUAUCGAGCUGAACUCAUAGGAUGUUACACAUGAAUUGUGGAUUGUGAAAGAAUUGACUAGAUUUCAACGUGCAUCACCUCAAGGACAAAUGAAAUUCGUACUUCAAGAUGAAGAAACAGAUGCAUUUAUGUCCUUUUUGACCAGGUGGAUGACUUGGAGGAGGUCAGUGAAUAUUAUUGAUGCUUGAACAUUCCUAAAUUGAUUCAAGCUGGGUGUCCUAUAUGCUAGAUACCGCUAUGAGAAUUUUAUGGAGCAUAUCAAACUGUUUUCAACUCGUCUAAACAUUCCUAAGCUGAUUCGAGCUUGCGAUGAACAACACUGAGGCUCCGUAUGUUUCGAUGUAAAAUAUUUUACAUGUAAAAUGUCUUUUUAGAAAACAAAAUUUGAACUUUUAUUGUCCGGUGUUUGGUUGGUACAUGAAAAUAUGUUUCAAAACAAUGGCUUUCCCUUAGAGUGAGUACUUGAUAUUUAGAGAGAGAGAGAGAGAGAGAGAGAGAGAGAGAGCGAGAGAGAGAGAGAGAUGGUCGUGGAAUCACUGGAAUGGGAGAAUGACAGCCUGGACACCCAUUGGAAAACAACUUACCAGGUUUUCCAUGGUAAAUCAUUUCCAUGAUAAAUCAUUUUAAUGCCUAAGGGUGUAAAAGAUUUUCCCCGACAGUCAUUUUCCGGCAAUUUCAACAACCAAAUACCGGAAAAUAUGUAAAAUAUUUUACGUUCAAACAAACGGAGCCUGAAGGUAACUCACAUAUUUUUAUAUUGAGUAAGACAAGUUUGAUAAUACUGCCACGACCUUCAUGAAUCAUUCUCCAGAAGCAUGGGACAACAUGCAGUUCAAAGAUGUUGCAGUCAAAGUUGCGAACGUUGAACUGGAAGAGCAUCCUGAUCUUAUAAAUGAUAUGCUUAACGUGCUUGCACUUCGCGUGACCAUACACGUUUGGUUGGAAUAAUGCGAAAGGUUUGUAAUUCUCUUAGAAAAUGUUUCUAUUUAUAUCACCAUGGCUCAAAAUGUCAUUUCCAUAUGUUGUUUCGGUUAUCUGGACAAUGAGAAAUUGUGUACGUUUUACGGAUUUUGGGAGACAGCUGGAAAAUAAUAAUAAUAAUGCUUGAAAA
Rhododendron vialii is the source of this 3163-nucleotide long non-coding RNA. RefSeq lists it as uncharacterized. The transcript is spliced from 3 exons. The record is from RefSeq and is a predicted model, not a curated record. Lineage: Eukaryota; Viridiplantae; Streptophyta; Magnoliopsida; Ericales; Ericaceae.